Molecule: ribosomal RNA, 450 nt
Filed under: Pseudomonas sp. MY-CA86
Lineage: Bacteria; Pseudomonadati; Pseudomonadota; Gammaproteobacteria; Pseudomonadales; Pseudomonadaceae
Description: bacterial SSU rRNA
Rfam family: Bacterial small subunit ribosomal RNA
Source: RNAcentral
UUCUCUUGAGAGCGGCGGACGGGUGAGUAAUGCCUAGGAAUCUGCCUAGUGGUGGGGGAUAACGUUCGGAAACGGACGCUAAUACCGCAUACGUCCUACGGGAGAAAGCGGGGGACCUUCGGGCCUCGCGCCAUUAGAUGAGCCUAGGUCGGAUUAGCUAGUUGGUGAGGUAACGGCUCACCAAGGCGACGAUCCGUAACUGGUCUGAGAGGAUGAUCAGUCACACUGGAACUGAGACACGGUCCAGACUCCUACGGGAGGCAGCAGUGGGGAAUAUUGGACAAUGGGCGAAAGCCUGAUCCAGCCAUGCCGCGUGUGUGAAGAAGGUCUUCGGAUUGUAAAGCACUUUAAGUUGGGAGGAAGGGUAGUAACUUAAUACGUUGCUACUUUGACGUUACCGACAGAAUAAGCACCGGCUAACUUCGUGCCAGCAGCCGCGGUAAUACGAAG